RNAcentral lists this RNase P RNA (343 nucleotides) under chicken gut metagenome. RNAcentral describes it as "Bacterial RNase P class A". It matches the Rfam family "Bacterial RNase P class A". From Rfam's summary of the family: Ribonuclease P (RNase P) is a ubiquitous endoribonuclease, found in archaea, bacteria and eukarya as well as chloroplasts and mitochondria. Its best characterised activity is the generation of mature 5'-ends of tRNAs by cleaving the 5'-leader elements of precursor-tRNAs. Cellular RNase Ps are ribonucleoproteins. The record is from RNAcentral.
GGUUGGCCAGACGGUCGCGUUAAUGCUGUGGUGGCAUUACCGAGGAAAGUCCGAGCUUCAAGAGAACUGGGUGCCGGUUAACUGCCGGUGAAGGUAACUUUAAGGAAAGUGCAACAGAAAAUUACCGCCCGCUUUAAGCGAGUAAGGUUGAAAAGGUGUGUGUAAGAGACCACCGACUCUUUGGUAACAAAGGGUGCCAUGUAAACCCCACCUGAAGCAAGGUUAAAAAAGGCAAUAGCGCUUGUUCUCUCGCGCCUUUUAAAAGCACCGCUUGACUGUUAUGGAGACAUAACAGCUAGAUAGAUGACCGUUUAAUACAGAACUCGGCUUACAGACCAGCCUA